RNAcentral lists this ribosomal RNA (467 nucleotides) under uncultured bacterium. RNAcentral describes it as "bacterial SSU rRNA". It matches the Rfam family "Bacterial small subunit ribosomal RNA", at positions 355 to 825 of the family's 1533-position model. The record is from RNAcentral.
UGAGGAAUAUUGGACAAUGGGCGCAAGCCUGAUCCAGCCAUGCCGCGUGCAGGAUGACGGUCCUAUGGAUUGUAAACUGCUUUUGUACAGGAAGAAACAGUUCUACGUGUAGAACCUUGACGGUACUGUAAGAAUAAGCACCGGCUAACUACGUGCCAGCAGCCGCGGUAAUACGUAGGGUGCAAGCGUUAAUCGGAAUUACUGGGCGUAAAGCGUGCGCAGGCGGUUUUGUAAGUCUGAUGUGAAAUCCCCGGGCUCAAUCCAGGAAGUGCAUUGGAUACUGUCAGGCUAGAGUACAGGAGAGGUGGGCGGAAUUCCUGGUGUAGAGGUGAAAUUCGUAGAUAUCAGGAGGAACAACAGUGGCGAAGGCGGCUCACUAGACUGUAACUGACGCUGAGGCGCGAAAGCGUGGGGAGCAAACAGGAUUAGAUACCCCGGUAGUCCCUGAGCGGGCUGGCAAGGCGCAU